This 702-nucleotide ribosomal RNA is filed under the name uncultured Planctomycetota bacterium. RNAcentral describes it as "bacterial SSU rRNA". It matches the Rfam family "Bacterial small subunit ribosomal RNA", at positions 28 to 764 of the family's 1533-position model. The record is from RNAcentral. Lineage: Bacteria; Pseudomonadati; Planctomycetota.
CGCGACCUGGCGGCAUGGCUAAAACAUGCAAGUCGAACGCGAACGUCCCUUCGGGGGCUAUUAGAGUGGCGAAAGGGCGAGGAAUACGUUUCUACAUACCCUCAGGUCAGGGAUAGCCCAGGGAAACUUGGAGUAAUACCUGAUGUGGUCACCGGAUCAAAGGCUUCGGCCGCCAGGGGAGUGGGGAACGUCCUAUCAGGUUGUUGGUGAGGUAAAAGCUCACCAAGCCGUUGACGGGUAGCGGGUGUGAGAGCAUGACCCGCCGCAUCGGGACUGAGACACUGCCCGGACUCCUACGGGAGGCUGCAGUAACGAAUCUUCCGCAAUGCGCGAAAGCGUGACGGAGCAAUGCCGCGUGCAGGAUGAAGCUUCUCGGAGUGUAAACUGCUGUCAGGGUUUAGCAACACAAUGAGCAGACCCAAAGGAAGGGCCGGCUAACUUCGUGCCAGCAGCCGCGGUAAUACGAAGGGCCCGAGCGUUGCGCGGAAUCACUGGGCUUAAAGCGUACGUAGGCGGACGCGCAGGCGUUUUGUGAAAUCCCUCGGCUCAACCGAGGAACUGCUUGACGAACCGCGCGCCUUGAGGCAAGUAGGGGCUGUCGGAACGAUAGGUGGAGUGGUGAAAUGCGUUGAUAUCUAUCGGAACGCCGAAGGAGAAAUCAGGCAGCUGGGCUUGUCCUGACGCUGAGGUACGAAAGCGUGG